UACGUAGGGGGCAAGCGUUGUCCGGAUUUAUUGGGCGUAAAGAGCGUGUAGGCGGCCAGGUAGGUCAGCUGUGAAAACUCGAGGCUCAACCUCGAGACGUCGGUUGAAACCACCUGGCUAGAGUCCGGAAGAGGAGAGUGGAAUUCCUGGUGUAGCGGUGAAAUGCGCAGAUAUCAGGAGGAACACCGGUGGCGAAGGCGGAUCUCUGGGCCUUACCUGACGCUGAGGAGCGAAAGCAUGGGGAGCAAACAGG
RNAcentral lists this ribosomal RNA (253 nucleotides) under uncultured bacterium. Its description in RNAcentral is "partial 16S ribosomal RNA". It matches the Rfam family "Bacterial small subunit ribosomal RNA", at positions 524 to 776 of the family's 1533-position model. The record is from RNAcentral.